GAUGAACGCUGGCGGCGUGCCUAAUACAUGCAAGUCGAGCGAACAGACGAGGAGCUUGCUCCUCUGACGUUAGCGGCGGACGGGUGAGUAACACGUGGAUAACCUACCUAUAAGACUGGGAUAACUUCGGGAAACCGGAGCUAAUACCGGAUAAUAUAUUGAACCGCAUGGUUCAAUAGUGAAGGACGGUUUUGCUGUCACUUAUAGAUGGAUCCGCGCCGCAUUAGCUAGUUGGUAAGGUAACGGGUUACCAAGGCAACGAUGCGUAGCCGACCUGAGAGGGUGAUCGGCGACACUGGAACUGAGACACGGUCCAGACUCCUACGGGAGGCAGCAGUAGGGAAUCUUCCGCAUUGGGCGAAAGCCUGACGGAGCAACGCCGCGUGAGUGAUGAAGGUCUUCGGAUCGUAAAACUCUGUUAUUAGGGAAGAACAAAUGUGUAAGUAACUAUGCACGUCUUGACGGUACCUAAUCAGAAAGCCACGGCUAACUACGUG
This 497-nucleotide ribosomal RNA is filed under the name uncultured bacterium. RNAcentral's name for it is "partial 16S ribosomal RNA". It matches the Rfam family "Bacterial small subunit ribosomal RNA", at positions 28 to 507 of the family's 1533-position model. The record is from RNAcentral.